Molecule: ribosomal RNA, 253 nt
Filed under: uncultured bacterium
Lineage: Bacteria
Description: partial 16S ribosomal RNA
Rfam family: Bacterial small subunit ribosomal RNA
Source: RNAcentral
UACGUAGGGGGCAAGCGUUGUCCGGAUUUAUUGGGCGUAAAGAGCGUGUAGGCGGCUAGGUAGGUCCGUUGUGAAAACUCGAGGCUCAACCUCGAGACGCCGAUGGAAACCAUCUAGCUAGAGUCCGGAAGAGGAGAGUGGAAUUCCUGGUGUAGCGGUGAAAUGCGCAGAUAUCAGGAAGAACACCCGUGGCUAAGGCGGCUCUGUAGUACGGUACUGACGCUGAGACGCGAAAGCGUGGGGAGCGAACAGG